This 336-nucleotide ribosomal RNA is filed under the name Triticum dicoccoides. RNAcentral's name for it is "rRNA SSU_rRNA_eukarya". It matches the Rfam family "Eukaryotic small subunit ribosomal RNA", at positions 57 to 388 of the family's 1831-position model. Lineage: Eukaryota; Viridiplantae; Streptophyta; Magnoliopsida; Poales; Poaceae. The record is from RNAcentral.
GUGCAAUUUUGAACAUAUUUGAACUGUGAAACUGCGAAUGGCUCAUUAAAUCAAUUAUAGUUUGUUUGAUGGUACGUGCUACUCGGAUAACCAUAGUAAUUCUAGAGCUAAUACGUGCAACAAACCCCGACUUCUGGGAGGGGCGCAUUUAUUAGAUAAAAGGCUGACGCGGGCUCUGCUCGCUGAUCCGAUGAUUCAUGAUAACUCGACGGAUCGCACGGCCUUCGUGUCGGCGACGCAUCAUUCAAAUUUCUGCCCUAUCAACUUUCGAUGGUAGGAUAGGGGCCUACCAUGUUGGUGACGGGUGACCGAGAAUUAGGGUUCGAUUGUCAGGAC